UUAAAUCAUUAAAUUUAAAAGAUUUGSCGGUAUUUUAAAUAMUUAGAGGAAUCUGUAUAAUAAUUGAUAAUCCACAAUAMGAAAUACUUAAUAAUUUAUGUAUUGCUGUUUAAAGAUUAUUAUUAMUUAAAUUUUUYAAUUUUUAAUAUAAUUGAAUUCAAGUCAAAAUAUAGUUUUAUUAAGAUAUGGAYUACAUUYUUAUAUUAAAAUUGGAUUUAAAAGUAA
Molecule: ribosomal RNA, 225 nt
Filed under: Protopolybia bituberculata
Lineage: Eukaryota; Metazoa; Arthropoda; Insecta; Hymenoptera; Vespidae
Description: partial small subunit ribosomal RNA
Source: RNAcentral